UUCGGUGUGCGGCUGUUUUGCG
RNAcentral lists this microRNA (22 nucleotides) under Drosophila mojavensis. RNAcentral's name for it is "Dmo-Novel-7-P3_5p* (star (passenger))". Lineage: Eukaryota; Metazoa; Arthropoda; Insecta; Diptera; Drosophilidae. The record is from RNAcentral.